GCCCAAGGUGACCGUGAAGAACUCAUCCACUGGAAUACCCUUUUUAAAACGUCUACAGAGUCUGGUGAUUCACUCUGGCAAUGGAUAUAUGAACAUUUGGAACUUACUGAAAAACAUGUGCUCAACAUCUGGAAUGACGGGUACAUUAUGGGGUUUUUGAGUAAGGAGAGAGAGAGAGGGCUUUGUUGAGAGACAAACUCCCAGGCACUUUCCUUCUGCGCUUCAGUGAAAACUCUCGAUGUGGAGGACUCAUCAUCACAUGGGUGGAGCGUUCACAGGAUGGUUUGUGCUG
Molecule: long non-coding RNA, 292 nt
Filed under: Sinocyclocheilus anshuiensis
Lineage: Eukaryota; Metazoa; Chordata; Actinopteri; Cypriniformes; Cyprinidae
Description: lncRNA (ENSSANG00000006765.1)
Source: RNAcentral